GACGAACGCUGGCGGCGUGCUUAACACAUGCAAGUCGAACGGAAAGGCCCUGCUUUUGUGGGGUGCUCGAGUGGCGAACAGGUGAGUAACACGUGAGUAACCUGCCCUUGACUUUGGGAUAACUUCAGGAAACUGGGGCUAAUACCGGAUAGGAGCUCCUGCUGCAUGGUGGGGGUUGGAAAGUUUCGGCGGUUGGGGAUGGACUCGCGGCUUAUCAGCUUGUUGGUGGGGUAGUGGCUUACCAAGGCUUUGACGGGUAGCCGGCCUGAGAGGGUGACCGGCCACAUUUGGACUGAGAUACGGCCCAGACUCCUACGGGAGGCAGCAGUGGGGAAUAUUGCACAAUGGGCGGAAGCCUGAUGCAGCAACGCCGCGUGCGGGAUGACGGCCUUCGGGUUGUAAACCGCCUUCGCCUGUGACGAAGCGUGAGUGACGGUAAUGGGUAAAGAAGCACCGGCUAACUACGUG
RNAcentral lists this ribosomal RNA (468 nucleotides) under uncultured bacterium. RNAcentral's name for it is "partial 16S ribosomal RNA". It matches the Rfam family "Bacterial small subunit ribosomal RNA", at positions 28 to 507 of the family's 1533-position model. The record is from RNAcentral.